UGAGGAAUAUUGGUCAAUGGGCGAGAGCCUGAACCAGCCAAGUAGCGUGCAGGAAGACGGCCCUAUGGGUUGUAAACUGCUUUUAUGUGGGGAUAAAGUGCGUGACGUGUCAUGCAUUGCAGGUACCACAUGAAUAAGGACCGGCUAAUUCCGUGCCAGCAGCCGCGGUAAUACGGAAGGUCCGGGCGUUAUCCGGAUUUAUUGGGUUUAAAGGGAGCGUAGGCUGUCUAUUAAGCGUGUUGUGAAAUAUACCGGCUCAACCGGUGGCUUGCAGCGCGAACUGGUCGACUUGAGUAUGCAGGAAGUAGGCGGAAUUCAUGGUGUAGCGGUGAAAUGCUUAGAUAUCAUGACGAACUCCGAUUGCGCAGGCAGCUUACUGUAGCAUAACUGACGCUGAUGCUCGAAAGUGCGGGUAUCGAACAGG
Molecule: ribosomal RNA, 424 nt
Filed under: Verrucomicrobiota bacterium
Lineage: Bacteria; Pseudomonadati; Verrucomicrobiota
Description: Verrucomicrobia bacterium partial 16S ribosomal RNA
Rfam family: Bacterial small subunit ribosomal RNA
Source: RNAcentral